CACUGUGGAUCUUGUCCUAUAC
RNAcentral lists this microRNA (22 nucleotides) under Ciona intestinalis (vase tunicate). RNAcentral describes it as "cin-miR-4065-5p". The record is from miRBase by way of RNAcentral. Lineage: Eukaryota; Metazoa; Chordata; Ascidiacea; Phlebobranchia; Cionidae.